CCUACGGGCGGCAGCAGUAGGGAAUAUUGCUCAAUGGGGGAAACCCUGAAGCAGCAACGCCGCGUGGAGGAUGAAGGUUUUCGGAUUGUAAACUCCUUUUGUUAGAGAAGAUAAUGACGGUAUCUAACGAAUAAGCACCGGCUAACUCCGUGCCAGCAGCCGCGGUAAUACGGAGGGUGCAAGCGUUACUCGGAAUCACUGGGCGGAAAGAGCGCGUAGGCGGGAUAGCAAGUCAGAUGUGAAAUCCUAUGGCUUAACCAUAGAACUGCAUUGGAAACUGUUAUUCUAGAGUAUGGGAGAGGUAGGUGGAAUUCUUGGUGUAGGGGUAAAAUCCGUAGAGAUCAAGAGGAAUACUCAUUGCGAAGGCGACCUGCUAGAACAUAACUGACGCUGAUGCGCGAAAGCGUGGGGAGCAAACAGGAUUAGAUACCCUAGUAGUC
RNAcentral lists this ribosomal RNA (440 nucleotides) under uncultured bacterium. RNAcentral describes it as "partial 16S ribosomal RNA". It matches the Rfam family "Bacterial small subunit ribosomal RNA", at positions 338 to 795 of the family's 1533-position model. The record is from RNAcentral.